AGAUUCUUGAUUUGAUUCUUUCGGGAUGACGAUUAAGAAGGAAAGCGGCGGACGGGUGAGUAACGCGUGAGUAACCUGCCCCAUAGAACGGAAUAGCCUAGUGAAAACUGGAAUAAUGCCGUAUGAAGCAGCAGCACCGCAUGAUGCAGUUGUUAAAGAUUUAUCGCUAUGGGAUGGACUCGCGUCUGAUUAGAUAGUUGGCGGGGUAACGGCCCACCAAGUCGACGAUCAGUAGCCGAACUGAGAGGUUGAUCGGCCACAUUGGGACUGAGACACGGCCCAGACUCCUACGGGAGGCAGCAGUGGGGGAUAUUGCACAAUGGGGGAAACCCUGAUGCAGCAACGCCGCGUGAAGGAAGAAGGUCUUCGGAUUGUAAACUUUUGUCUUUAGGGAAGAAACAAAUGACGGUACCUAAGGAGGAAGCCACGGCUAACUACGUGCCAGCAGCCGCGGUAAU
RNAcentral lists this ribosomal RNA (458 nucleotides) under uncultured bacterium. RNAcentral's name for it is "bacterial SSU rRNA". It matches the Rfam family "Bacterial small subunit ribosomal RNA", at positions 65 to 524 of the family's 1533-position model. The record is from RNAcentral.